RNAcentral lists this ribosomal RNA (523 nucleotides) under Vibrio cholerae. RNAcentral's name for it is "partial 23S ribosomal RNA". It matches the Rfam family "Bacterial large subunit ribosomal RNA", at positions 438 to 963 of the family's 2925-position model. RNAcentral also lists the same sequence under 1 other name. The record is from RNAcentral. Lineage: Bacteria; Pseudomonadati; Pseudomonadota; Gammaproteobacteria; Vibrionales; Vibrionaceae.
CUGAAUAUGGGGGGACCAUCCUCCAAGGCUAAAUACUCCUGACUGACCGAUAGUGAACCAGUACCGUGAGGGAAAGGCGAAAAGAACCCCUGUGAGGGGAGUGAAAUAGAACCUGAAACCGUGUACGUACAAGCAGUAGGAGCACCUUCGUGGUGUGACUGCGUACCUUUUGUAUAAUGGGUCAGCGACUUAUAUUCAGUGGCAAGGUUAACCGUAUAGGGGAGCCGUAGCGAAAGCGAGUCUUAACUGGGCGCUCAGUCUCUGGAUAUAGACCCGAAACCGGGUGAUCUAGCCAUGGGCAGGUUGAAGGUUGAGUAACAUCAACUGGAGGACCGAACCGACUAAUGUUGAAAAAUUAGCGGAUGACUUGUGGCUAGGGGUGAAAGGCCAAUCAAACUCGGAGAUAGCUGGUUCUCCCCGAAAGCUAUUUAGGUAGCGCCUCGGACGAAUACUACUGGGGGUAGAGCACUGUUAAGGCUAGGGGGUCAUCCCGACUUACCAACCCUUUGCAAACUCCGAAUAC